RNAcentral lists this ribosomal RNA (253 nucleotides) under uncultured bacterium. Its description in RNAcentral is "partial 16S ribosomal RNA". It matches the Rfam family "Bacterial small subunit ribosomal RNA", at positions 524 to 776 of the family's 1533-position model. The record is from RNAcentral.
UACAGAGGUCUCAAGCGUUGUUCGGAUUCAUUGGGCGUAAAGGGUGCGUAGGCGGCGCGGUAAGUCGGGUGUGAAAUCUCGGAGCUUAACUCCGAAACUGCAUUCGAUACUGCCGUGCUUGAGGACUGGAGAGGAGACUGGAAUUUACGGUGUAGCGGUGAAAUGCGUAGAUAUCAGGAAGAACACCGACGGCGAAGGCAGCUCGCUGGGACGGUACUGACGCUGAGGCGCGAAAGCGUGGGGAGCGAACAGG